AUGGAAUGAGUACACUCUAAACCCUUUAACGAGGAUCAAUUGGAGGGCAAGUCUGGUGCCAGCAGCCGCGGUAAUUCCAGCUCCAAUAGCGUAUGCUAAAGCUGCUGCGGUUAAAAAGCUCGUAGUUGGAUCUCAGUUGCGGGCGGGUGGUGCAUCUACCCGGUGUGACAGCCCGAACUGAACAUCUUGCCUUCUAUCCUCUGGUGUCCUUCACUGGAUGCCUUUGGGUGGUCGGUGCAUUUACUUUGAAAAAAUUGGAGUGCUCAACGCAGGCGAAGCGCCUGAACACUUAUGCAUGGAAUAAUAGAACAAGACCCCGUCUCUGUUCUGUUGGUUUUUGGAAAACGGGGUAAUGAUCAAGAGGGACUGCCGGGGGCAUUCGUAUUGCGGCGCUAGAGGUGAAAUUCUUGGACCGUCGCAAGACGAACUACAGCGAAAGCAUUUGCCAAGAAUGUUUUCAUUGAUCAAGAACGAAAGUUAGAGGUUCGAAGGCGAUCAGAUACCGCCCUAGUUCUAACCAUAAACGAUGCCAACCAGCAAUCCGCCUGAGUUACUCCAAUGACUCUGCGGGCAGCUUCCGGGAAACCAAAGUAUUUGGGUUCCGGGGGAAGUAUGGUUGCAAAGCUGAAACUUAAAGGAAUUGACGGAAGGGCACCACCAGGAGUGGAGCCUGCGGCUCAAUUUGACUCAACACGGGAAAACUUACCCGGCCCGGACACUGGGAGGAUUGACAGAUUGAGAGCUCUUUCUUGAUCGG
RNAcentral lists this ribosomal RNA (757 nucleotides) under Antricola sp. RNAcentral describes it as "SSU rRNA". It matches the Rfam family "Eukaryotic small subunit ribosomal RNA", at positions 509 to 1269 of the family's 1831-position model. The record is from RNAcentral. Lineage: Eukaryota; Metazoa; Arthropoda; Arachnida; Ixodida; Argasidae.